GACGAACGCUGGCGGCGUGCCUAAUACAUGCAAGUAGAACGCACAGUUUAUACCGUAGCUUGCUACACCAUAGACUGUGAGUUGCGAACGGGUGAGUAACGCGUAGGUAACCUGCCUGGUAGCGGGGGAUAACUAUUGGAAACGAUAGCUAAUACCGCAUAAUAUUGAUUAUUGCAUGAUAAUUGAUUGAAAGAUGCUAUUGCAUCACUACCAGAUGGACCUGCGUUGUAUUAGCUAGUAGGUGAGGUAACGGCUCACCUAGGCGACGAUACAUAGCCGACCUGAGAGGGUGAUCGGCCACACUGGGACUGAGACACGGCCCAGACUCCUACGGGAGGCAGCAGUAGGGAAUCUUCGGCAAUGGACGAAAGUCUGACCGAGCAACGCCGCGUGAGUGAAGAAGGUUUUCGGAUCGUAAAGCUCGGUUGUAAGAGAAGAACGGGUGUGAGAGUGGAAAGUUCACACUGUGACGGUAGCUUACCAGAAAGGGACGGCUAACUACGUG
Molecule: ribosomal RNA, 505 nt
Filed under: uncultured bacterium
Lineage: Bacteria
Description: partial 16S ribosomal RNA
Rfam family: Bacterial small subunit ribosomal RNA
Source: RNAcentral